CUACGGGAUGCAGCAGUGGGGAAUAUUGGACAAUGGGGGAAACCCUGAUCCAGCAAUGCCGCGUGUGUGAAGAAGGCCUGCGGGUUGUAAAGCACUUUCGGUUGGGAGGACUGCUUCUAGCACUAAUAUUGUUGGAAGUUGACGUUACCUUCAGAAGAAGCACCGGCUAACUCCGUGCCAGCAGCCGCGAUAAUACGGAGGGUGCAAGCGUUAAUCGGAAUUACUGGGCGUAAAGCGCGCGUAGGCGGCUAGAUCAGUCGGGUGUGAAAGCCCCGGGCUUAACCUGGGAACUGCAUCCGAUACUGUCUAGCUUGAGUACAGGAGAGGAGAGUGGAAUUCCACAUGUAGCGGUGAAAUGCGUAGAUAUGUGGAGGAAUACCAAUGGCGAAGGCAGCUCUCUGGCCUGAUACUGACGCUGAGGUGCGAAAGCGUGGGGAGCAAACAGGAUUAGAUACCCCAGUAGUC
Molecule: ribosomal RNA, 465 nt
Filed under: uncultured bacterium
Lineage: Bacteria
Description: partial 16S ribosomal RNA
Rfam family: Bacterial small subunit ribosomal RNA
Source: RNAcentral